RNAcentral lists this ribosomal RNA (252 nucleotides) under uncultured bacterium. Its description in RNAcentral is "partial 16S ribosomal RNA". It matches the Rfam family "Bacterial small subunit ribosomal RNA", at positions 524 to 776 of the family's 1533-position model. The record is from RNAcentral.
UACGUAGGUCCCGAGCGUUGUCCGGAUUUAUUGGGCGUAAAGCGAGCGCAGGUGGUUUAUUAAGUCUGGUGUAAAAAGCAGUGGCUCAACCGUUGUAUGCAUUAGAAACUGGUAGACUUGAGUGCAGGAGAGGAGAGUGGAAUUCCAUGUGUAACGGUGAAAUGCGUAGAUAUAUAGGGGAACACCGGUGGCGAAAGCGGCUCUCUGGCCUGUAACUGACACUGAGGCUCGAAAGCGUGGGGAGCAAACAGG